RNAcentral lists this ribosomal RNA (567 nucleotides) under Bacillus sp. MJAU D0068. RNAcentral describes it as "bacterial SSU rRNA". It matches the Rfam family "Bacterial small subunit ribosomal RNA", at positions 49 to 597 of the family's 1533-position model. The record is from RNAcentral. RNAcentral also lists the same sequence under 1 other name. Lineage: Bacteria; Bacillati; Bacillota; Bacilli; Caryophanales; Bacillaceae.
CUAUACUGCAGUCGAGCGAAUCUGAUGGGAGCUUGCUCCUUGUCAGAUUAGCGGCGGACGGGUGAGUAACACGUGGGUAACCUGCCUGUAAAACUGGGAUAACUCCGGGAAACCGGGGCUAAUACCGGAUAAUUUUUUCCUUCGCAUGAAGGAAAAUUGAAAGGGGGCACUAGCUACCACUUACAGAUGGACCCGCGGCGCAUUAGCUAGUUGGUGAGGUAACGGCUCACCAAGGCGACGAUGCGUAGCCGACUUGAGAGGGUGAUCGGCCACACUGGGACUGAAACACGGCCCAAACUCCUACGGGAGGCAGCAGUAGGGAAUCUUCCGCAAUGGACGAAAGUCUGACGGAGCAACGCCGCGUGAGUGAUGAAGGUUUUCGGAUCGUAAAACUCUGUUGUUAGGGAAAAACAAGUAUCGUUCGAAUAGGGCGGUACCUUGACGGUACCUAACCAAAAAGCCACGGCUAACUACGUGCCAGCAGCCGCGGUAAUACGUAGGUGGCAAGCGUUGUCCGGAAUUAUUGGGCGUAAAGCGCGCGCAGGCGGUUUCUUAAGUCUGAUGUGA